CAAGGAAUUAAGAGUUUAUGGGGAAUACCUUGGCAUUCAGAAGCGACGAAGGACGUGGUUACCGACGAAACACUCCCGGGGAGCUGGAAACAAGCUAUGAUCCGGAGGAUUCCGAAUAAGGAAACUUUUUAUACUACUUAUUGAAUUCAUAGAUAAGCAAGAGCAAACCUAGGGAACUGAAACAUCUUAGUACCUAGAGGAAAAGAAAGUAAAAAACGAUUCCCUUAGUAGCGGCGAGCGAAACGGGAGAAGCCUAAACUUAAUUACUUAUUUAUUUAAAUAGAUUGAGGGUAGUGGGACGAUUGUUAAUAGAUUAGCACAGUUAAACGAAUAAGUUGGAAUACUUAACCAAAGAAAGUGAUAGUCUUGUAGUUGAAAACUAAAAUAAUCUCAAAUCAGAUCCCAAGUAGCAUGGAACACGUGAAAUUCCGUGUGAAUCUGCGAGGACCACCUCGUAAGGCUAAAUAUUACUGGAUGACCGAUAGUGAAACAGUACCGUGAGGGAAAGGUGAAAAGAACCCCGGGAGGGGAGUGAAAAGAACAUGAAACCAUAAACUUACAACCAGUAGGAGGACGACUAAAACGUCUGACUGCGUGCCUGUUGAAGAAUGAGCCGGCGACUUAUAGGUAGUGGCAGGUUAAGGCAGAGAAUGCUGGAGCCAUAGUGAAAGCGAGCCUGAAUAGGGCAUAUGUCACUGGUUAUAGACCCGAACCCGGAUGAUCUAACCAUGGUCAGGUUGAAGCUUAGGUAAUACUAAGUGGAGGACCCAACCGACUGAUGUUGAAAAAUCAGCGGAUGAAUUGUGGUUAGGGGUGAAAUGCCAAUCGAAUUCGGAGCUAGCUGGUUCUCCUCGAAAUGCGUUUUGGCGCAGCGAUAAAUCUUAUAACUUAGGGGUAAAGCACUGUUACGUAUGCGGGCUGGUAAUUCGGUACCAAAUCGUUGCAAACUAAGAAUACUAAGUGUACAGUUUAUCAGUGAGACUGUGGGGGAUAAGCUCCAUUGUCAAGAGGGAAACAGCCCAGAGCACCAGUUAAGGCCCCUAAAUAAUUACUAAGUGAUAAAGGAAGUGGGAUUGCGAAAACAAUCAGGAGGUUUGCCUAGAAGCAGCAAUCCUUUAAAGAGUGCGUAAUAGCUCACUAGUCAAGCGACUCGGCGUCGAUAAUAAUCGGGCAUAAGUCGGAUACCGAAGCUGUGGGAUUUAACGAUCGGUAGGGGAGCAUUCCAGUCAGCGCAGAAGCAGCGCCCGCGAGGGGCCGUGGAGCGGCUGGAAGCGAAAAUGUAGGCAUGAGUAACGAUAAGACGGGUGAAAAACCCGUCCACCGUAAACCCAAGGGUUCCUGAUCAACGCUAAUCGGAUCAGGGUUAGUCGAGACCUAAGGUGUACCCGGUGAGGCCGGGGAAGCCGAUGGCAAAGCGGUUAAAUAUUCCGCUACCGAAGCCAACGUAUGGCUAAGGCGUGACGCAGAAGUGACACUCCCGCGUGCUGACGAAUGCACGUUAAAGGGCGUAGGCCGGGGGGCAGGCAAAUCCGCCUCCCAUUAAGGUUGAACCCCGACAGUACUCGGAUUCUCACGAUGAAGAGAUAGUGGAGGUAAUCAUGCUGCCAAGAAAAGCGUCGUAGUUUGUUGUCUUCGCUCGUACCCCAAACCGACACAGGUGGGUGAGGAGAGUAUCCUCAGGUGCUCGAGUAAUUCAUGGCUAAGGAACUAGGCAAAUUCGAUCCGUAACUUCGGGAGAAGGAUCCCCUGACUAUGUCAGGGCGCAGUGAAAAGGCCCAAGCGACUGUUUACCAAAAACACAUGUCUCUGCUAAGCCGUAAGGCGAUGUAUAGGGACUGACACCUGCCCGGUGCUGGAAGGUUAAAGAAGGGGGUUAGCUUCGGCGAAGCCCUUGACUGAAGCCCCAGUAAACGGCGGCCGUAACUAUAACGGUCCUAAGGUAGCGAAAUUCCUUGUCGGGUAAGUUCCGACC
RNAcentral lists this ribosomal RNA (1972 nucleotides) under Fragilariopsis kerguelensis. RNAcentral describes it as "partial Bacterial large subunit ribosomal RNA". It matches the Rfam family "Bacterial large subunit ribosomal RNA", at positions 1 to 1988 of the family's 2925-position model. Lineage: Eukaryota; Bacillariophyta; Bacillariophyceae; Bacillariales; Bacillariaceae. The record is from RNAcentral.